AUAUCAGUCAUGCAUAGCAUAUCAAUAAGCGGAGGAAAAGAAACUAACAAGGAUUCCCUAGUAACGGCGAGUGAAGCGGGAAGAGCUCAAAUUUGAAAUCGUCAAGGUUCUACCUUGACGAAUUGUAGUUUAUAGAAGUGUUUUCUGUUAGUAGGAGUGGCAAAAGUUCUUUGGAAUAGGACAUCAUAGAGGGUGAGAAUCCCGUAUUUGGUCAUUCCUUCUAGCGUUGUGAUACACUUUCAACGAGUCGGAUUGUUUGGGAAUGCAGUCCAAAAUGGGUGGUAAAUUUCAUCUAAAGCUAAAUAUUGGCGAGAGACCGAUAGCGAACAAGUACCGUGAGGGAAAGAUGAAAAGAACUUUGAAAAGAGAGUUAAACAGUACGUGAAAUUGUCAAAAGGGAAGCGUUUGACACCAGUGUUGUUUUUCCGAAAAUCAAUUACGAAUGUUUUAUUUUUGAGGAGUUAUGACUUCAUCGGCUUGCUCCUUUCUUUACUGAAACUUUCUUAAUGCACUUUUCGGUUAACAAGUCAACAUCAAUUUCUUUUGUUGUAAAAGGGUAUGAGGAAGGUGGCUUUCUUUUCGGAGAAAGUGUUUAUAGCCUUGUGCCUCUGCAAUCGGAGAGAUUGAGGUCUGCAGCGUAGAUCCUUCGGGGUUAGAUACGUUUGUGCUAAGUUAUAGCUUUUCAUAGACAACUUGUUGACUAUGUUUAGUCUUGUAGCUUACUCGCUUAUGCUAUUUUACCUACGCUUAGGAUGUUGAUCUCUCACAGUCGAGC
This 775-nucleotide ribosomal RNA is filed under the name uncultured Neocallimastigales. RNAcentral's name for it is "partial large subunit ribosomal RNA". It matches the Rfam family "Eukaryotic large subunit ribosomal RNA", at positions 22 to 645 of the family's 3401-position model. The record is from RNAcentral. Lineage: Eukaryota; Fungi; Neocallimastigomycota; Neocallimastigomycetes; Neocallimastigales.